This 723-nucleotide ribosomal RNA is filed under the name Cryptoplus sp. NLG-2014. RNAcentral describes it as "partial 16S ribosomal RNA". The stretch from base 412 to 617 matches the Rfam family "Archaeal large subunit ribosomal RNA", at positions 1797 to 2106 of the family's 2987-position model. Lineage: Eukaryota; Metazoa; Arthropoda; Insecta; Coleoptera; Curculionidae. The record is from RNAcentral.
UUAAAAGAGCUAUAUGUAUAUAUUUUUUAUUGUUGAAUAAAUAUUAUAAAUAUUUAUAUAGAAAUGAAAUGUUAUUCGAUUUUAAAUAUAUCUAGUUUUUUAAGAAAAAAAUUUAAUUUUAUUUUUAUUUAAUCAUAUAAUUAUUUAUUUAAUGAAUAUGAUAAUAAAAUUUUAUAUUUUUAGGGAUAAGCUUAAUAAUAUAGUAAUAAAAUUUAUAUAAUAUGUAAAUUAUUUAAAUAGGAUUUAUAGUUUUCAAUUUUUAUAGUGUUUUUUAACUAAUAUAAUAAAUAAUUAAGAUUUAUAUGAAAUUUAUGUGUUUUAUUAAAAUAUAAAUUUGAAUUUAAAUAAUUUAGUAAUAAUGAUUAAAUUAGUAUAUAAAUAUUAUUUUAAAUAGUAAAUAAAUUAGUAAGGUUAAGUAAAGGAAUUCGGCAAAUAUAUUUUUCACCUGUUUAUUAAAAACAUGUCCUUUUGAGUUUGAUUUAAGGUCGGGCCUGCCCAAUGAUGUAAAAAAUUUAAUGGCCGCGGUAUUUUGACCGUGCAAAGGUAGCAUAAUAAUUAGUUUUUUAAUUGAAAACUAGAAUGAAGGGUUUAAUGAAAAAAUUACUGUCUCUAUUUAAAUUAUAUAGAAUUUUAUUUUUAAGUAAAAAAGCUUAAAUUUUUAUAAAAGACGAGAAGACCCUAUAGAGUUUUAUAAAUUAUUUAUUUAAUAAAUUAAGGAUUUAG